UGCUGAGCAGAAAUUCUGGAGUUUGG
RNAcentral lists this non-coding RNA (26 nucleotides) under Homo sapiens (human). Lineage: Eukaryota; Metazoa; Chordata; Mammalia; Primates; Hominidae. The record is from RNAcentral.